Molecule: ribosomal RNA, 253 nt
Filed under: uncultured bacterium
Lineage: Bacteria
Description: partial 16S ribosomal RNA
Rfam family: Bacterial small subunit ribosomal RNA
Source: RNAcentral
UACGUAGGGGGCUAGCGUUGUCCGGAUUUAUUGGGCGUAAAGAGCGUGUAGGCGGCCAGGUAGGUCUGCUGUGAAAACUCGAGGCUCAACCUCGAGACGUCGGCGGAAACCAUCUGGCUAGAGUCCGGAAGGGGAGAGUGGAAUUCCUGGUGUAGCGGUGAAAUGCGCAGAUAUCAGGAAGAACACCCGUGGCGAAGGCGGCUCUCUGGGACGGUACUGACGCUGAGACGCGAAAGCGUGGGGAGCGAACAGG